RNAcentral lists this ribosomal RNA (292 nucleotides) under uncultured bacterium. Its description in RNAcentral is "partial 16S ribosomal RNA". It matches the Rfam family "Bacterial small subunit ribosomal RNA", at positions 505 to 796 of the family's 1533-position model. The record is from RNAcentral.
GUGCCAGCAGCCGCGGUAAUACGGAAGGUGCAAGCGUUAAUCGGAAUUACUGGGCGUAAAGCGCGCGUAGGCGGCUUCGUAAGUCGGGUGUGAAAGCCCCGGGCUCAACCUGGGAACUGCGCUCGAUACUGCGGAGCUCGAGUACGAGAGAGGGGGGUGGAAUUCCAGGUGUAGCGGUGAAAUGCGUAGAGAUCUGGAGGAACACCGGUGGCGAAGGCGGCCCCCUGGUUCGAUACUGACGCUGAGGUGCGAAAGCGUGGGGAGCAAACAGGAUUAGAUACCCCCGUAGUCC